RNAcentral lists this unclassified non-coding RNA (1562 nucleotides) under uncultured fungus. RNAcentral's name for it is "sequence contains 18S rRNA gene, ITS1, 5.8S rRNA gene, ITS2, 28S rRNA gene". Lineage: Eukaryota; Fungi. The record is from RNAcentral.
GAAACGGCUUCCACGGCGCGCUGGGGUCGUUCGGGAAGGCGACGGUGCGUCCCAUCGACGAGACCACCUCCGAGUACUACCUCCCGCUCGAGGUGCUGGAUCGCCCGGGAGUGCUGCACGCCGUCACCGGGGUGUUCGCCCGCCACGGCGUGAGCAUCCGCGCUGCCGAACAGGAAGGGCUCCGUGACGACGCCCGGCUGGUGUUCAUCACGCACGAGGCCCGCGAGGCCGACGUCCAGGCCACCCUGCGAGAGCUGCGUGACCUCGAGGCCGUGAAGCAGGUGGGCGGUCUGCUGCGGGUCGUCGGCUCGUCAGGCUGAGGCAGGCCGUGCGCUACGUCUCGACCCGCGGCCGCGCCCCCGAGCUGGGCUUCGCCGACGUCCUCCUCGCCGGCCUGGCGACCGACGGUGGCCUUUACGUACCCGAGACGUGGCCGAAGCUCCACCGGAUCGGCCACGGCGCCCCCUACGCCGCGCUCGCCACCGCGCUCUGCUCGCUCUACACCGGCGACGACCUUGGCGAGGGGGUGCUGGCCCGGGCCUGCGAGGAGGCCUACGCCGCCUUCCGGCAUCCGGCCGUGGUGCCCCUGGUGCAGGUGGGUGACGAGGAGUGGGUCCUCGAGCUGUUCCACGGGCCGACCCUCGCCUUCAAGGAUGUGGCGCUGCAGCUGGUGGGGCGCCUGUUCGACUCUGUGCUGGCCACCCGUGGCGAGCGGGUCACCAUCGUGGGGGCCACGAGCGGUGACACCGGCUCGGCCGCCAUCGACGGGGUGAAGGGAUGCGGCAACGUCGACAUCGUGAUCCUGUACCCGGCUGGGCGGGUGAGCGACGUCCAGCGCCGCCAGAUGACCACCGUGGAGGCACCCAACGUCCACACCGUCGCGAUCGAGGGGACGUUCGACGACUGCCAGGACCUCGUCAAGGCGAUGUUCGCCGAUGAGCCGUUCCGCGAGGACCUGCGGCUGAGCGCGGUCAACAGCAUCAACUGGGCGCGGGUCAUGGCGCAGGUGCCGUACUACGUGGCAGCCGCCCUCGCCCUGGGCGGCGGGCCCGGCGGCCGGCCGGUGUCGUUCAGCGUCCCGACCGGGAACUUCGGCAACGUGUUCUCCGGGUGGGUGGCCCGCAAGAUGGGUGUGCCCAUCCACCAGCUCGUGAUCGGCUCCAACCGGAACGACAUCCUCACGCGGUUCCUGCACAGCGGCCUCAUGCACACCACCCAGGUCGUGCCGACGCUCAGCCCGAGCAUGGACAUCCAGGUCUCGAGCAACUUCGAGCGACUGCUGUUCGAGCUGAACCACCGAGACGGUGGGAUGACGGCGGAGCAGAUGCAUCGGUUCCGGGCCAUGGGUGGGCUGACGGUCGAGCCGGACCAGUACGAGGAGCUGACGUCGCUGUUCGUUGGCUCCCGGCUCGACGACGACCAGACCGUCGCGGAGAUCGCCCGGGUGCACGCGGAGUGCGGCCUCCUCGUGGACCCGCACACGGCGGUCGGCCUCGGCGCUGCGCGCGAGCACCGAGAGGACGCCACCGUGCCGAUGGUCACAUUGGCCACCGCUCACCCGG